Long non-coding RNA from Populus euphratica (Euphrates poplar), 157 nucleotides. RefSeq lists it as uncharacterized. The transcript has 2 exons. The record is from RefSeq and is a predicted model, not a curated record. Lineage: Eukaryota; Viridiplantae; Streptophyta; Magnoliopsida; Malpighiales; Salicaceae.
ACGCAUCGUUGCUUUCUCAGUUUCCUGACCCAUGUAAUAGUUGGAAGCUGUCUUCGUUUCUGAAGGUUGCCUCCUUCAUGGCUGGGUUUUGUCUUGUGUGUAGCAGACCAAUAAAAUAGGUGCAGCAAAUAAUUUGUUUGGUCUGGCUGCUGAUCAA